RNAcentral lists this ribosomal RNA (373 nucleotides) under uncultured organism. RNAcentral's name for it is "bacterial SSU rRNA". It matches the Rfam family "Bacterial small subunit ribosomal RNA", at positions 526 to 896 of the family's 1533-position model. The record is from RNAcentral.
CAGAGGUCCCAAGCGUUGUUCGGAUUCACUGGGGCGUAAAGGGUGCGCAGGUGGGUUUGCAAGUUUGAUGUGAAAGCCCCGGGCUUAACCCGGGAAUGGCAUUGAAUACUGCAGAUCUGGAGGAUUGGAGGGGGGACUGGAAUUCUUGGUGUAGCAGUGAAAUGCGUAGAUAUCAAGAGGAACACCAGUGGCGAAGGCGAGUCCCUGGACAAUACCUGACACUGAGGCACGAAAGCUAGGGGAGCAAACAGGAUUAGAUACCCUGGUAGUCCUAGCUGUAAACGGUGCGCAUUUGCUGUAAACGGAAUCGACCCCGUUUGUGGCGAAGCUAACGCGAUAAAUGCGCCGCCUGGGAAGUACGGCCGCAAGAUUA